ACCCCCACUAAGCGGCACAACCCAACAGCUGUUUAGUCGGCAACGGUACACAGUUAUGUGAGCGUCGAAAACUCCGAGCGUCGCAUUUCACAAUGAUUGAACGAGUCGAGCAGAGAAUUUGUAUUAAAUUUUGCCAAAAACUUGGCCACACAUGUUCCGAGACAAUCGACAUGAUCCGUAAAGUUUAUGGUAAUGACUCUAUGAGUGACACACAAAUAAAAGAAUGAUUUAGACGGUUCAAAGAUGGCCGUGUCUCAGUGGACAGUGAUCCUCGUUCCGGCAUACCUUCAACGUCGAAAACAGCGGAAUACGUGGAACGUGUGCUAUACGCAAUCAACAAAAAUCGACGUUUGACUGGGCGAGAGUUAGAAGAGAACUUUGGGAUCCCAAAAACUAUUGUUUCUCGAAUAUUGACUGAAGAUCUGGGAAUGAGAAAGAUUUGACGAUGUUGAGGAAAUAAAGCGAAAUGCGACGAGGGAGUUGUUGGCUAUCAUAAAAAACGACUUCCAGGAUUACUUUCGCAAGUGGGUGCACCGUUGGCAGAAGGUCAUUGCUUCGGAAGGACACUACUUUGAAGACGAAGUUGUUCAUAUCACUCCGGAAUAGCUCUUUCUCAUGAUACAGGCAAAGAUGUUACAUGCUGGUGUCCAUCAGCGGCUACGAAGGUCAACGAACCGGGACCUUUCUCCCGGGAGUCAAGCCGACAUAAGAUCUACUGACCGACAUUCAUUGAAUUUCUACUCUCCUGACGGAAAUAAGAAAGCUUUAUAAAACGUUGACAACCGUUCAAUGACGAUUUUUUAAAAGUUUAUACACUUUUAAACUUUAUAAGAACGCUUACACAA
Long non-coding RNA from Mycetomoellerius zeteki, 845 nucleotides. RefSeq lists it as uncharacterized. The record is from RefSeq and is a predicted model, not a curated record. Lineage: Eukaryota; Metazoa; Arthropoda; Insecta; Hymenoptera; Formicidae. The transcript is spliced from 3 exons.